This 792-nucleotide small RNA is filed under the name Limosilactobacillus oris. RNAcentral describes it as "bacterial LSU rRNA". The stretch from base 294 to 792 matches the Rfam family "Bacterial large subunit ribosomal RNA", at positions 1 to 494 of the family's 2925-position model. Lineage: Bacteria; Bacillati; Bacillota; Bacilli; Lactobacillales; Lactobacillaceae. The record is from RNAcentral.
AGAGCGCACGCCUGAUAAGCGUGAGGUCGAUGGUUCAAGUCCAUUUAGGCCCAUUUAAUGGGGAAUUAGCUCAGCUGGGAGAGCACCUGCUUUGCAAGCAGGAGGUCAUCGGUUCGAUCCCGAUAUUCUCCAUCGCCAAUUAUAAGAUUGGCCGAGCUUGUACUUUGAAAACUAAAUAAUAUCUAAUUUCUUUUUAUUGAAAACAAUAAACCGAGAACACCGCGUUAUUUGAGUUUAAUUAACGAAAUAAUCGCUAACUCAAUUAAUCAAGGUGAUCGCGAAGUGAUCAUCAAGGUUAAGUUAUGAAGGGCGCAUGGUGAAUGCCUUGGUACUAGGAGCCGAUGAAGGACGGGACAAACACCGAUAUGCUUCGGGGAGUGGUAAGUACACUUUGAUCCGGAGAUUUCCGAAUGGGGAAACCCAACCAGCUUAGUCGUUGGUUACCUGACUAGUGAAUCUAUAGCUAGCAGGGGGAAGACGCAGUGAACUGAAACAUCUCAGUAGCUGCAGGAAGAGAAAGAAACAUCGAUUCCCUGAGUAGCGGCGAGCGAAAGGGGAAGAGCCCAAACCAGUGAGCUUGCUUGCUGGGGUUGUAGGACUGAACAAUGGAGUUACCAAAAUGCGACGUAGUCGCAACAGCUGGGAAGCUGUGCCAGAGAGGGUGAUAGCCCCGUAGACGAAACGUCACAUUCUCCGUUCAGGAUCCUGAGUACGGCGGGACACGUGAAACCCCGUCGGAAGCAGCGAGGACCAUCUCGCAAGGCUAAAUACUACCUAGUGACCGAUAGUGAA